GCCAGGCGUGGUGGCUCACGCCUGUAAUCCCACCACUUUGGGAGGCUGAGGUGGGUGGAUCACCUGAGGUCAGGAGUUUGAGACUAGCCUGGCCAACAUGGUGAAACCCCAUCUCUA
RNAcentral lists this small RNA (117 nucleotides) under Macaca fascicularis (crab-eating macaque). Its description in RNAcentral is "Metazoan signal recognition particle RNA (ENSMFAG00000054414.1)". It matches the Rfam family "Metazoan signal recognition particle RNA". From Rfam's summary of the family: The signal recognition particle (SRP) is a universally conserved ribonucleoprotein. It is involved in the co-translational targeting of proteins to membranes. Lineage: Eukaryota; Metazoa; Chordata; Mammalia; Primates; Cercopithecidae. RNAcentral also lists the same sequence under 3 other names. The record is from Rfam by way of RNAcentral.